Molecule: ribosomal RNA, 51 nt
Filed under: Potamolinea magna 48PC
Lineage: Bacteria; Bacillati; Cyanobacteriota; Cyanophyceae; Coleofasciculales; Wilmottiaceae
Description: partial 23S ribosomal RNA
Source: RNAcentral
GGUCAAGCUACAAAGAGCUAACGGUGGAUACCUAGACAGACAGAGGCGAAG